AUGGGCGCAGGGGUGAUCGACGAGGACUACCGCGGCCUAGUGGGCCUUGCGCUAUUCAACCACUCAGAGGCGGACUUCGCCGUGAAGCCCGGCGACUACGUCGCACAGAUGAUCGUCCAGGUGAUCGUGACGCCGAAGGUCGCCGAGGUGGAGGACCUCGACGCCACCGUCCGGGGGAGGGAGGAUUCGGGUCCGCCGGCGUCUGAACUUCGAGCCUUGGUAGAUACAUCUAAAGAAGUGGUUUGUUUAGGUUGGUGGUGA
This 261-nucleotide ribosomal RNA is filed under the name Triticum aestivum (bread wheat). RNAcentral describes it as "partial small subunit ribosomal RNA". The record is from RNAcentral. Lineage: Eukaryota; Viridiplantae; Streptophyta; Magnoliopsida; Poales; Poaceae.